Non-coding RNA from Podarcis lilfordi (Lilford's wall lizard), 1131 nucleotides. NCBI's taxonomy places the organism in Eukaryota, Metazoa, Chordata, Lepidosauria, Squamata, Lacertidae. The record is from the annotation of a GenBank genome assembly.
GAUAUGUAUCUGGCCACCUAGCCAGAUCUGAUUCCUUACUCUUAGGGGAAAGCAUUGAGGAAAGAGGAAGAUAGGCAUAUUCAGGUACCUCUUUCAUAUCAUUACAUAAUGAGACGACAUAAUGACUAAGGGCAAUGAGCCUUCCAGGAGAUACCCACGAGACACUGGCCAACCAGAUAGCCAUGAGAAACUCAUAAGCAGGACCUGAGUGUGUCAGUACACUCCACUCCUGAAAUUUCCAGCAACUGGUAUUCAGAAACAUACUGCUUCCAACAAUGCAGGCAGAACACAGCCAACAUGACCACUAGCCAUUUGAUCUAUUUGAUCUUCUUUCAAAAGCAUCCAAGUUGGUGGCCAUUACUGCCACUUGCGGGAGCAAUUUUCAUCGUUUGUACUGUGUGAAGAAGUACUUUUUCUUUCCUGUCCUGAAUCUUCCCAAGGAGGCUUUGAUGUUUCGCCUCUUUCUCGGAUGCAGGUGCACGACACCUUUCAGAGCGAUGCUUUGAGAUUGCUCUGAGUCAAAGUCUGGGAAGUCUCUUGGCUUCCAUAGUUUUAAGUUUUCAUCCACUUGUUUAAAAAUGCAGAGAUACAUCCUCAUAGCAACACACCUAUUUUAAAAUGCAAGAGAACAGAUGGGGGUCUCUUUGGGAAACCUAAUAUAGUUCUCAAGACAUAGCCAGGAACUGAUUCCAGAUCUAGAGCACAACAGUGGAUCCACACUGCCAUCUCAAAUUUGAUUUUAGCUCCCAAUAUGUUGUUUUGAGGUGUGUAUUUUUUGGGGGGGACAGACUCCCCAUAAAUGUUGGAUUUAGUAAAAGUGAGGAUCGAUCAUGGUUUUAUUAAAACUCCACCAAACACUGCUUGAUUAUGUUUAGGAUAACAAGCUAGCCCAGCUUGACGUAGUUGGCUCAGCACAAGCCAUUAACAAAGGCUGAAAUGGCCAGUCAUCAACCCAUUAAAAGAAGCCAUCACAAGUCUGGAGACUGCCAGGCACACAAGGGGAGGUUGCCAAGGGGCAAUGAAGUAAGCAGAAGAGGAAGUCACAUUUGGCAAGGGUUUCUGGGAAGAAAAAGGAGGAGGAUAGGCAGAAGCCAUGCAGGUGACUGGAGCAGGCUGAUGGCACAGAGGCAC